AGUCGAGCGGAAACGAUGAUAGCUUGCUAUCAGGCGUCGAGCGGCGGACGGGUGAGUAAUACUUAGGAAUCUACCUAGUAGUGGGGGAUAGCACGGGGAAACUCGUAUUAAUACCGCAUACGACCUACGGGAGAAAGGGGGCAGUUUACUGCUCUCGCUAUUAGAUGAGCCUAAGUCGGAUUAGCUAGAUGGUGGGGUAAAGGCCUACCAUGGCGACGAUCUGUAGCUGGUCUGAGAGGAUGAUCAGCCACACCGGGACUGAGACACGGCCCGGACUCCUACGGGAGGCAGCAGUGGGGAAUAUUGGACAAUGGGGGAAACCCUGAUCCAGCCAUGCCGCGUGUGUGAAGAAGGCCUUUUGGUUGUAAAGCACUUUAAGCAGUGAAGAAGACUCCUCGGUUAAUACCCGUGGACGAUGACAUUAGCUGCAGAAUAAGCACCGGCUAACUCUGUGCCAGCAGCCGCGGUAAUACAGAGGGUGCAAGCGUUAAUCGGAAUUACUGGGCGUAAAGGGAGCGUAGGUGGCUCGAUAAGUCAGAUGUGAAAUCCCCGGGCUCAACCUGGGAACUGCAUCUGAUACUGUUGAGCUAGAGUAUGUGAGAGGAAGGUAGAAUUCCAGGUGUAGCGGUGAAAUGCGUAGAGAUCUGGAGGAAUACCGAUGGCGAAGGCAGCCUUCUGGCAUAAUACUGACACUGAGGCUCGAAAGCGUGGGUAGCAAACAGGAUUAGAUACCCUGGUAGUCCACGCCGUAAACGAUGUCUACUAGUCGUUGGGUCCCUUGAGGACUUAGUGACGCAGCUAACGCAAUAAGUAGACCGCCUGGGGAGUACGGCCGCAAGGUUAAAACUCAAAUGAAUUGACGGGGGCCCGCACAAGCGGUGGAGCAUGUGGUUUAAUUCGAUGCAACGCGAAGAACCUUACCUGGUCUUGACAUAUCUAGAAUCCUGCAGAGAUGCGGGAGUGCCUU
This 967-nucleotide ribosomal RNA is filed under the name Psychrobacter sp. BTN20B. RNAcentral's name for it is "bacterial SSU rRNA". It matches the Rfam family "Bacterial small subunit ribosomal RNA", at positions 60 to 1020 of the family's 1533-position model. The record is from RNAcentral. Lineage: Bacteria; Pseudomonadati; Pseudomonadota; Gammaproteobacteria; Moraxellales; Moraxellaceae.